GGUUGUGGCCUUGAGCCGUGGCUUUCGGAGCUAACGCGUUAAGUAGACCGCCUGGGGAGUACGGUCGCAAGAUUAAAACUCAAAUGAAUUGACGGGGGCCCGCACAAGCGGUGGAGCAUGUGGUUUAAUUCGAUGCAACGCGAAGAACCUUACCUACUCUUGACAUCCAGAGAACUUAGCAGAGAUGCUUUGGUGCCUUCGGGAACUCUGAGACAGGUGCUGCAUGGCUGUCGUCAGCUCGUGUUGUGAAAUGUUGGGUUAAGUCCCGCAACGAGCGCAACCCUUAUCCUUGUUUGCCAGCGAGUAAUGUCGGGAACUCCAGGGAGACUGCCGGUGAUAAACCGGAGGAAGGUGGGGACGACGUCAAGUCAUCAUGGCCCUUACGAGUAGGGCUACACACGUGCUACAAUGGCGCAUACAGAGGGCGGCCAACUUGCGAAAGUGAGCGAAUCCCAAAAAGUGCGUCGUAGUCCGGAUUGGAGUCUGCAACUCGACUCCAUGAAGUCGGAAUCGCUAGUAAUCGUGGAUCAGAAUGCCACGGUGAAUACGUUCCCGGGCCUUGUACACACCGCCCGUCACACCAUGGGAGUGGGCUGCA
Molecule: ribosomal RNA, 598 nt
Filed under: Vibrio neocaledonicus
Lineage: Bacteria; Pseudomonadati; Pseudomonadota; Gammaproteobacteria; Vibrionales; Vibrionaceae
Description: bacterial SSU rRNA
Rfam family: Bacterial small subunit ribosomal RNA
Source: RNAcentral